GAUGCCAGGGUCUAAAGGUCUAAACCCACAUGAGCUUGCUCAUAGGUGGGUGAAAGACUUUGUGACCCGCCCCGAUAUGAGCAUAAAAGUGGGAUUUUAAUCCCACGAUAUGCGAAUAUUGGGUAGGAUUUACGCGA
RNAcentral lists this small RNA (137 nucleotides) under human gut metagenome. RNAcentral describes it as "Clostridiales-1 RNA". It matches the Rfam family "Clostridiales-1 RNA", at positions 2 to 136 of the family's 166-position model. The record is from RNAcentral.